CAAAAAAAUACCAUAAACUUAACUUAACCCUUUACUAAUACUGAAUGACUUCAUAUCUUUAUGAAGAACCUUAUGUUAGAACUAGUAACAAGAAGAAGCCCUUCUCCAAAAUGUAAGCAUGAACCAAAAUGAACAAAUCAUUGGUGCUUAAAAUUUUUUAACUACAAGUAACAACUCAUCAAGAAAACCUUACUACCCAACAUGUCAACCUUACACAAGUACAUUUAUGGAAAGAGUAAAAGAAUGGGAAGGAACUCGGCAAAUUACUAACCCCGCCUGUUUACCAAAAACAUCGCCUCCUGCUACUUUAUAGGAGGUCCAGCCUGCCCAGUGAUAAAAUUAAACGGCCGCGGUACCCUAACCGUGCAAAGGUAGCGCAAUCACUUGUUCUUUAAAUGAGGACUAGUAUGAACGGCAUCACGAGGGUUACACUGUCUCCCCACUCUACUCAGUGAAACUAAUCCCCCCGUGAAGAAGCGGGGAUAAAAAUAUAAGACGAGAAGACCCCAUGGAGCUUAAAACUCAGUCUUACCUGCCACCUAAAAAACCUAGAAACCACGCAGCACUAAUGACUAGUUUUCGGUUGGGGUGACCGCGGAGAAAAACAAAUCCUCCACGACGAAAGGACCUAUUCACCUAAUCCAAGAGCUACACCUCUAAGAAUCAACACAUUGACCAAUUGAUCCAAUUUUUUGAUCAACGGACCAAGUUACCCUGGGGAUAACAGCGCAAUCCAUUUCAAGAGCUCAUAUCGACAAAUGGGUUUACGACCUCGAUGUUGGAUCAGGGUAUCCAAGUGGCGCAGCCGCUACUAACGGUUCG
This 822-nucleotide ribosomal RNA is filed under the name Microhyla butleri. Its description in RNAcentral is "partial 16S rRNA". It matches the Rfam family "Bacterial large subunit ribosomal RNA", at positions 1510 to 2575 of the family's 2925-position model. The record is from RNAcentral. Lineage: Eukaryota; Metazoa; Chordata; Amphibia; Anura; Microhylidae.